Molecule: long non-coding RNA, 143 nt
Organism: Etheostoma cragini (Arkansas darter)
Lineage: Eukaryota; Metazoa; Chordata; Actinopteri; Perciformes; Percidae
Exons: 3
Source: RefSeq, a predicted model, not a curated record
UUACUUCAUGUCUCAUGUAGUCUUCUCACUUACAGUUUGGUAGACAUGAAGCUCUAAAAAGGUCAGGAAAAAGUUUCUCAGCCAUCAUAGAAAAAAAGCGCCCAAAAACUUCAGCAAAAAGUGACAAAAAUUAAGUGGGCCAA